This 87-nucleotide transfer RNA is filed under the name Actomonas aquatica. RNAcentral describes it as "Opitutus sp. WL0086 tRNA-Tyr". It matches the Rfam family "tRNA". Rfam says of the family: Transfer RNA (tRNA) molecules are approximately 80 nucleotides in length. Their secondary structure includes four short double-helical elements and three loops (D, anti-codon, and T loops). The record is from RNAcentral. Lineage: Bacteria; Pseudomonadati; Verrucomicrobiota; Opitutia; Opitutales; Opitutaceae.
GGUGAGAUACUCAAGUGGCCAACGAGGGCAGACUGUAAAUCUGCUGAGCUCCGCUCUACGGUGGUUCGAAUCCACCUCUCACCACCA